RNAcentral lists this unclassified non-coding RNA (529 nucleotides) under uncultured Pelagibacterales bacterium. Its description in RNAcentral is "partial 16S-23S ribosomal RNA intergenic spacer". The stretch from base 107 to 180 matches the Rfam family "tRNA". The record is from RNAcentral. Lineage: Bacteria; Pseudomonadati; Pseudomonadota; Alphaproteobacteria; Candidatus Pelagibacterales.
CCUCCUUUCUAAGGAUGAAUGAAAUUAACAUUUCAUUCUAAAUAAUAUACAUCGGUAAUGUUGACCGUCCUCAUUUCUCUUCUUAAAGUAAUGUUUCCUUCUUGUAGGGCCGGUAGCUCAGUUGGUUAGAGCACACCCUUGAUAAGGGUGGGGUCGAAAGUUCGAGUCUUUCUCGGCCCACCAUACUUAACUGGGGGAUUAGCUCACCUGGGAGAGCGCCUGAUUUGCAUUCAGGAGGUCAGCGGUUCGAUCCCGCUAUCCUCCACCAGGAAACAUUUAGUUAUAAAAAUUGUGAAUAAAAAUAAUAAUUAAUAUCAAUAUCUAUAUCCGAACAUUAGUAAUGUUAUUAGCUAAUGUUUAAAAUAAAAAUUCGAUCACAACAUAGAUAAUUUUUCUGUAAAAAGAAUUUUGUGCUGUGCAUAAAUCAAGCGUGUAAGGGCGUGUANUGCAUGCCUGGGCACUGAAAGCCGAUGAAGGACGUGAUAUACUGCGGUAAGUUUCGGGGAGCUGUAUGUAAGUUCGAUCCGAA